CCAGUACUGUGAAGGAAAGGUGAAAAGCACUUCGAAUAGAAGAGUGAAAUAGUCCCUGAAACCAUGCGCCUACAAGCGGUCGGAGCAGCUUAAGCUGUGACGGCGUGCCUUUUGCAUAAUGAACCUACGAGUUACUUUUUCCGGCAAGGUUAAGCAUCUUGAGAUGUGGAUCCGAAGCGAAAGCGAGUCUGAACAGGGCGGAUAGUCGGAAGGAGUAGACGCGAAACCAAGUGAUCUACCCUUGGGCAGGUUGAAGGUUAGGUAACACUAACUGGAGGACCGAAC
RNAcentral lists this ribosomal RNA (285 nucleotides) under Bacteroides fragilis. RNAcentral describes it as "partial 23S ribosomal RNA". It matches the Rfam family "Bacterial large subunit ribosomal RNA", at positions 495 to 779 of the family's 2925-position model. Lineage: Bacteria; Pseudomonadati; Bacteroidota; Bacteroidia; Bacteroidales; Bacteroidaceae. The record is from RNAcentral.